GACGAACCGUGCGAACGUUAUUCGGAAUCACUGGGCUUAAAGCGCGUGUAGGCGGCCCGGUAAGUCCGCUGUGAAAGUCCAGGGCUCAACCCUGGGAUGCCGGUGGAUACUGUCGGGCUCGAGUCCGGAAGAGGCGAGUGGAAUUCCUGGUGUAGCGGUGAAAUGCGCAGAUAUCAGGAGGAACACCAAUGGCGAAGGCAGCUCGCUGGGACGUGACUGACGCUGAGACGCGAAAGCGUGGGGAGCAAACAGG
Molecule: ribosomal RNA, 253 nt
Filed under: uncultured bacterium
Lineage: Bacteria
Description: partial 16S ribosomal RNA
Rfam family: Bacterial small subunit ribosomal RNA
Source: RNAcentral